This 253-nucleotide ribosomal RNA is filed under the name uncultured Sphingomonas sp. RNAcentral's name for it is "partial 16S ribosomal RNA". It matches the Rfam family "Bacterial small subunit ribosomal RNA", at positions 524 to 776 of the family's 1533-position model. Lineage: Bacteria; Pseudomonadati; Pseudomonadota; Alphaproteobacteria; Sphingomonadales; Sphingomonadaceae. The record is from RNAcentral.
UACGGAGGGGGCUAGCGUUGUUCGGAAUUACUGGGCGUAAAGCGCACGUAGGCGGCCUUGUAAGUUAGAGGUGAAAGCCCGGAGCUCAACUCCGGAAUUGCCUUUAAGACUGCAGGGCUAGAAUCGUGGAGAGGUGAGUGGAAUUCCGAGUGUAGAGGUGAAAUUCGUAGAUAUUCGGAGGAACACCAGUGGCGAAGGCGACUCACUGGACACGUAUUGACGCUGAGGUGCGAAAGCGUGGGGAGCAAACAGG